CUACGGGCGGCAGCAGUGAGGAAUAUUGCACAAUGGGGGGAACCCUGAUGCAGCAACGCCGCGUGGAGGAUGACGCAUUUCGGUGUGUAAACUCCUUUUAUAUGUCAAGAAAAUGACGGUAGCAUAUGAAUAAGCACCGGCUAACUCCGUGCCAGCAGCCGCGGGAAUACGGAGGGUGCAAGCGUUACUCGGAAUCACUGGGCGGAAAGGACGCGUAGGCGGGUUGGAAAGUCAGGUGUGAAAUCCUACAGCUUAACUGUAGAACUGCACUUGAAACUUCUAAUCUUGAGUAUGGGAGGGGGAGAUGGAAUUAGUGGUGUAGGGGUAAAAUCCGUAGAUAUCACUAGGAAUACCUAAAGCGAAGGCGAUCUCCUGGAACAUUACUGACGCUAAGGCGUGAAAGCGUGGGGAGCAAACAGGAUUAGAUACCCGCGUAGUC
RNAcentral lists this ribosomal RNA (439 nucleotides) under uncultured bacterium. RNAcentral's name for it is "partial 16S ribosomal RNA". It matches the Rfam family "Bacterial small subunit ribosomal RNA", at positions 339 to 795 of the family's 1533-position model. The record is from RNAcentral.